GCGAGAGUGGCGGAAUUGGUAGACGCACUGGAUUUAGGAUCCAGCGCCUAUGGCGUAGGAGUUCAAGUCUCCUCUCUCGCACCA
RNAcentral lists this transfer RNA (84 nucleotides) under Desulfovibrio sp. OttesenSCG-928-F07. Its description in RNAcentral is "tRNA-Leu". It matches the Rfam family "tRNA". From Rfam's summary of the family: Transfer RNA (tRNA) molecules are approximately 80 nucleotides in length. The record is from RNAcentral. Lineage: Bacteria; Pseudomonadati; Thermodesulfobacteriota; Desulfovibrionia; Desulfovibrionales; Desulfovibrionaceae.